RNAcentral lists this ribosomal RNA (253 nucleotides) under uncultured bacterium. RNAcentral's name for it is "partial 16S ribosomal RNA". It matches the Rfam family "Bacterial small subunit ribosomal RNA", at positions 524 to 776 of the family's 1533-position model. The record is from RNAcentral.
UACGGGGGGGGCAAGCGUUGUUCGGAAUUACUGGGCGUAAAGGGCCAGUAGGCGGCCAACUAAGUCCGACGUGAAAUCCCCCGGCUUAACCUGGGAACUGCGUCUGAUACUGGAGGGCUUGAGUGCGGGAGAGGGAUGUGGAAUUCCAGGUGUAGCGGUGAAAUGCGUAGAUAUCUGGAGGAACACCGGUGGCGAAGGCGGCAUCCUGGACCGACACUGACGCUGAGGCGCGAAAGCUAGGGUAGCAAACGGG